This 253-nucleotide ribosomal RNA is filed under the name uncultured bacterium. RNAcentral describes it as "partial 16S ribosomal RNA". It matches the Rfam family "Bacterial small subunit ribosomal RNA", at positions 524 to 776 of the family's 1533-position model. The record is from RNAcentral.
UACGUAGGGGGCAAGCGUUGUCCGGAUUUAUUGGGCGUAAAGAGCGUGUAGGCGGCUAGGUAGGUCCGUUGUGAAAACUCGAGGCUCAACCUCGAGACGUCGGCGGAAACCCUCUGGCUAGAGUCCGGAAGAGGAGAGUGGAAUUCCUGGUGUAGCGGUGAAAUGCGCAGAUAUCAGGAAGAACACCCGUGGCGAAGGCGGCUCUCUGGGACGGUACUGACGCUGAGACGCGAAAGCGUGGGGAGCAAACAGG